UACGGGGGGGGCGAGCGUUGUUCGGAAUUACUGGGCGUAAAGGGCGCGUAGGCGGCUUAUCAAGUCAGGCGUGAAAUUCCCGGGCUCAACCUGGGGGCUGCGCUUGAUACUGAUGAGCUUGAAUGCGGGAGAGGAUAGUGGAAUUCCCAGUGUAGAGGUGAAAUUCGUAGAUAUUGGGAAGAACACCGGUGGCGAAGGCGGCUAUCUGGCCCGUAAUUGACGCUGAGGCGCGAAAGCGUGGGGAGCAAACAGG
Molecule: ribosomal RNA, 253 nt
Filed under: uncultured bacterium
Lineage: Bacteria
Description: partial 16S ribosomal RNA
Rfam family: Bacterial small subunit ribosomal RNA
Source: RNAcentral